Molecule: long non-coding RNA, 835 nt
Filed under: Panicum hallii
Lineage: Eukaryota; Viridiplantae; Streptophyta; Magnoliopsida; Poales; Poaceae
Description: long non-coding RNA (PHAL_LNC000924)
Source: RNAcentral
CUGACCACCACCUCUGAUUUAUCUUGAUAGAUGAUGCUAUGGACCCCAUGCGUCAGUUCUUUUUCCCCUUCCCCUCUCCUUCCAAGAGAGGUCGUACCCCUUCCCCUCAGCCGCAGCAGCUAGCGGGCAUCAGCUGCCCCUCACCCCCUCUCCCUGCGGCCAAAGCCUGACCACCACCUCGCCCUGCGCCGCACGCCAUGCGCGCUGAUUGCCGUGGCCAUCCCAGCGUGAGCCGCACCUACCACAAUCUCAUGUGCUGGUUCGCGUUAGGCGGGGGCAGGUGGCAGCCAGCAGUCAGGGCGACAAGCUGCAGCGCAGGUUAGCGGCGGAGCCACCAAUAUGGCAAGGUACGGCGAUCGUAAAACCUGCCCGGCCGGUGACUCACAAGCUAAUUUCUAGUAUAUUUAUAUAUGUAUUUGAUGAUUAUAUCUAUGUUAUUUGAUAAUUAUAAUAUAUUAUAAUUUUUUAUAGUAUGCAUGUGUUUUAAUAUAAAUCAGUAGCAGGCUCGCUAUAGGUUGAUUUUGGUCCUCGCUCCGCCGGUGGCGCACGGGGCAGCUGCGCAGGCGCAGCGGACGACGGAGGCAGCGGAAUGCGUGAUCGCCGGCGAGGUAAGGCUGUCUCCAGCAGCGUUCUGUAAAGCGUUCUGUACUCUAUAUAUAGAGGAAGAUUCCGUUCUCUAUUGCUCCAGCAGCGUUAUCUAAAUGGUCCUCUAAAUUAGAGAACGCUACAGGUUUCCUAUAUAUAGAGAUUCUCUCUCCUCUUCUCUAUUUUUUCUUUACGUUUCAAACACUGAAUUAAAUAAAAAUAAAAUAUGUCUAUAGCGUUUGAGGUAUGA